AAAUUCAUUACAUGCAAAAUCUCUUUCAUGAUCUUCACUAACAGAAUGGUGAUUAAUAACAUGUUGGAAUAAGUCAGAAGUGACUCAGAGUUUUGGAAAAGUGCAAAGCUUUGAAUGCAUUCUUGAGCGUGCAAUACAACCUUGCAUAUCUGCUGCCUCUCAGAACUGGAAUGCACAUAAAGGCACCUACAGUCACUACCAAGAGUAGGAGAAAAAAUCCCAGUGAGAAAUCACCUGAAAUCAGAAAGUCACCAUGGCAAGUAUAAAAUCAACCUCUCUCUGGGAAGGUAGAAGAGGAAGAGAAGAAGAAUGAAAGGAAGUAUUCUAUCUACAGCUGUCAGAAAAAAAUGCACUAAUUCAUUUUACAUCAGCCUUCCAAAGCUGGAGGCAAAAAC
This is a long non-coding RNA of Catharus ustulatus (Swainson's thrush), 395 nucleotides long. RefSeq lists it as uncharacterized. Lineage: Eukaryota; Metazoa; Chordata; Aves; Passeriformes; Turdidae. The record is from RefSeq and is a predicted model, not a curated record. The transcript is spliced from 3 exons.